AUCACCUAAAGAUUGUGUCUAUGGAAUCGGCUCGCGCGCGAAUCGGUGUUUUUGGUGGUAUUUUAUCGCUCUCGGCCUCGUUUUGUGUGUGAGAUGGAUCCUGGACAUCAAAUUUACUUCUGCAAAUGAAUCGCGGAAGGUGACGGCGAUCCGUUGCAGUUUCACCUCGCCUAGAGGUCGCCUCCACACGGCGAUGGCUGGGGUGCAAUACAGCCUCUUGGAAGGUCGCCUUCAUCAAACCUUCUCCCAUGCAUGUCUACUGUCGGCGCACCAAUCACAGCCAUCCAGUGCGGAAGCAAACUCGUCCUGAAUGGCCCGGCCAGACAGGGCGAUGUCUUCUCUCGCAGACGACCGCCAAUCACAAGGAAGAAUCAGCGAAAGACCUCAAGCAGGUGUAUAAAGUUCACAUAGGGACACCGGGUUAAGGAAGGGAAGCCAGCCGCCAUGUUGAAUGACCUUGACCUCGGGAAUCAUCAUAGUUGACCCUGGCCUUGACACUUCACAGCCAACACAUUCAAGCUUUCAAAUUUUGCGCACUCCCAUGCUUCCAUACUUGUACCUGUAUGUACUACUCGCUCAAUCGCAUACUUGUUCACUCGUAUACUUGCGCGCUUUUUUUUACAAGCUAUAACUAGAGACCGGAAAAAUUCGCGGGUUCAGUGACCUUCAGGAUAGACUCCAAUAUUAUCUACACACUCGGGCAAAUGCCAACUGUUCAUUGGCUGCUGACUUGUGAGUCGUCUCGACUGGGUGGCCUGUGAUUCGACACUUCUACGAGUGAGGGUCUCUAAUUGGCCCUCAGUCCUCCAGAUUAACAGUUGACCAAUGGCAGAUGCAGCACUAAUGAAUAAUUAUUUGAAUUUUAGCAUAACACGAAAUGAACCCGCGAAUUUUUCAGGUCUCUAGCUAUAACUUAUUUAGCCGGGUAGAGAGAUUUUUGGUAGGGGCAAAACUUAUGGGUUCGCGUCACCGACAUGCUAGUGACGUGUUGCGCCAGACUGGCGAAUCGCAGCGGCCUGUGUACAUGUAUACGCAUAUAUACACUAGUACAUUGUAUAUACUCGACUGUAUCAUGUGCGUGUUGAACUCUUUUUUUGGAUGGGUAAAAUACUUGUGAGUUCGUAUCACCGACAUGCUCUAGUAGCAGUAAGUGAAGUUAAUUUGACCACGUGAAUACAUGACCUAGGUCUGACAUAACUGGGGUAAGUCAUAGCUAGGUAAUGAAUUUUUACGUAAUUUUGACAUACCACUGACAUCUGUCGUGACUAAAAUAAUGAUGUAAGGAUAAAUGAUACCAUGCUGACAUCAUACUGAUGUUUAUAGAAAUCGAGGUAAAGAGAGCUGAGAAAAUCGGUAUGAAAUAUUCUGACGUCCUCGCCCGAUAAAAUAGAAAUCAAAAAUUUCAAUUUUCUUUAAUGAAAAGAAAUUGUUUACAAUAAUCUCCCGAAAAGUAAAACAAGAAAAUAAAAAUAAGGAUAUUUUUAUAGCCAAUAAGUAGAGACAUGAAAAAUUCGCGGGUUCAUUUCGUGUUAUGCUAAAAUUCAAAUAAUUAUACUUUAGUGCUGCUUCUGUCAUUGGUUCACUGUUAAUCUGGAGGACUGAGGGCCAAUUAGAGACCAUCACUCAUAGAAGUGUCGAAUCACAGACCACCCAGCCGAGACGACUCACAAGUCAGCAGCCAAUGAACAGUUGGCAUUUGCCCGAGUGUGUAGAGGAUAUUGGAGUCUAUCCUGGAUGUCACUUAACCCGCGAAUUUGUCCGGUCUCUACCAAUAAGACAGUGUCCAACUUUUAUCUAAUUGCCAACUGCGUACAUAAUAAUUUUACAUGUGAUCAUGAAUUUUUAUCCCUUUCCCUUAAAUAUUUGUCAUAAUUUAUUGUGAUUUGUAGAGGCGUGAUUUACGACUAGCUUAUAUAAACUUACUGAAAUACGUGUAUGUAAUUCUUUUGCAAAGCGUUUAGGAUAGCGCAUAAUACUGGUGAGCUUUAGGUACUAGGUCCGGUUCCCAAGUGUUGCUAUUUAUCGUCUAUUAUUUUUUUUUUGUAUUUGAGUCACAUGGAAUUAUUUUAUUAUAUAUUUAUAAUUUAAUAAUUAUGAUUUAAAAAUAAAUAUUAUAAUUGUAUACUAAUUGUUAUUUGAAUUAAGUUGUAUUGAUAUUCUGUACUGGGAUUGUA
Molecule: long non-coding RNA, 2174 nt
Organism: Bacillus rossius redtenbacheri
Lineage: Eukaryota; Metazoa; Arthropoda; Insecta; Phasmatodea; Bacillidae
Exons: 3
Source: RefSeq, a predicted model, not a curated record